GAUGAACGCUGGCGGCAUGCCUAAUACAUGCAAGUCGAGCGAACAGAUAAGGAGCUUGCUCCUUUGACGUUAGCGGCGGACGGGUGAGUAACACGUGGGUAACCUACCUAUAAGACUGGAAUAACUCCGGGAAACCGGGGCUAAUGCCGGAUAACAUUUAGAACCGCAUGGUUCUAAAGUGAAAGAUGGUUUUACUAUCACUUAUAGAUGGACCCGCGCCGUAUUAGCUAGUUGGUAAGGUAACGGCUUACCAAGGCAACGAUACGUAGCCGACCUGAGAGGGUGAUCGGCCACACUGGAACUGAGACACGGUCCAGACUCCUACGGGAGGCAGCAGUAGGGAAUCUUCCGCAAUGGGCGAAAGCCUGACGGAGCAACGCCGCGUGAGUGAUGAAGGUCUUCGGAUCGUAAAACUCUGUUAUUAGGGAAGAACAAAUGUGUAAGUAACUGUGCACGUCUUGACGGUACCUAAUCAGAAAGCCACGGCUAACUACGUG
RNAcentral lists this ribosomal RNA (497 nucleotides) under uncultured bacterium. Its description in RNAcentral is "partial 16S ribosomal RNA". It matches the Rfam family "Bacterial small subunit ribosomal RNA", at positions 28 to 507 of the family's 1533-position model. The record is from RNAcentral.